This 542-nucleotide ribosomal RNA is filed under the name Enterococcus durans. Its description in RNAcentral is "bacterial SSU rRNA". It matches the Rfam family "Bacterial small subunit ribosomal RNA", at positions 75 to 596 of the family's 1533-position model. Lineage: Bacteria; Bacillati; Bacillota; Bacilli; Lactobacillales; Enterococcaceae. The record is from RNAcentral.
GGAGCUUGCUCCACCGGAAAAAGAAGAGUGGCGAACGGGUGAGUAACACGUGGGUAACCUGCCCAUCAGAAGGGGAUAACACUUGGAAACAGGUGCUAAUACCGUAUAACAAUCGAAACCGCAUGGUUUUGAUUUGAAAGGCGCUUUCGGGUGUCGCUGAUGGAUGGACCCGCGGUGCAUUAGCUAGUUGGUGAGGUAACGGCUCACCAAGGCCACGAUGCAUAGCCGACCUGAGAGGGUGAUCGGCCACAUUGGGACUGAGACACGGCCCAAACUCCUACGGGAGGCAGCAGUAGGGAAUCUUCGGCAAUGGACGAAAGUCUGACCGAGCAACGCCGCGUGAGUGAAGAAGGUUUUCGGAUCGUAAAACUCUGUUGUUAGAGAAGAACAAGGAUGAGAGUAACUGUUCAUCCCUUGACGGUAUCUAACCAGAAAGCCACGGCUAACUACGUGCCAGCAGCCGCGGUAAUACGUAGGUGGCAAGCGUUGUCCGGAUUUAUUGGGCGUAAAGCGAGCGCAGGCGGUUUCUUAAGUCUGAUGUG